GCCGACCCGUGCCACCGUCCCAAAACCCCGUUCGACCUAUUCUCCGAAAGAAAAGAAAAAAAAUGCAAAACUACUGUUCGUCUUCCCCAGCGGCCGUAGACCCUCUCACGAAACUUUGCAGCCGCGACCUAUGCCCUCCUUCCUCACAAAUGCUCAUGAAAACGUCUCAUAAAUCCCAGCAAUAACGACGGCGUUCGAUAGAAUUGAUCCGCUGCCGCCUCCAGCUUAAAAAGCAGGCCGUGCUGCCAUCCGCUUCAAGCUCGCGCGCCACCGCCCUCCACGUUCAGCUCAGGCUGGAAAUCCACUCCACCUUUUGCCCCUGCACCCGAUUAUAUUGGAUCGAUUUUGUCUGGUGCUAUCUCAACUCCAUCCCAUUGCUUUGGAUUUUUAGGUUUCUUGGUCUGCUCGCUGAAUAUUUCUUCAGAUCUCUGUCUGCUCGCUCCAGAUGACUCGGAUGAGGUGGUUCCCCAUGAAGGCUACAAACCCAGACUUCAUCUUCACCGUGGCCGGCUCCUCCGUUAGUUCCUCUUUUCCUCCUCCUUUCUUUUCUGUCGUUUAUCUCUUGCACUACAGGUGUUUGACGAUUUGUUCGGCAUGCCGACCUGUUGACUUCAUUGAACAUAGCCUCAGAAAUAAUCUCAACGGCCAAGACUAUAAGGUAUCAUGGCGCCAUGGUACCAUAUGUUGCCUGAAAAGUUAUCAAUCUACAAGAUUGAUGCACUGUAUCAGUCUAUCAGGCAUGAAAGAAACCGUACCAGUAGUCCAGUACAUGUUCCAUGCAA
Lolium perenne is the source of this 782-nucleotide long non-coding RNA. RefSeq lists it as uncharacterized. NCBI's taxonomy places the organism in Eukaryota, Viridiplantae, Streptophyta, Magnoliopsida, Poales, Poaceae. The record is from RefSeq and is a predicted model, not a curated record.